Molecule: long non-coding RNA, 1450 nt
Organism: Syngnathus typhle (broad-nosed pipefish)
Lineage: Eukaryota; Metazoa; Chordata; Actinopteri; Syngnathiformes; Syngnathidae
Exons: 2
Source: RefSeq, a predicted model, not a curated record
GUCGGUUCCACCUGCGCGGAAGGCAGCGAUCCACUGCACGUUUGGACUCCUUGCUAGCUCAAACGUAAACGAGACAGCGACAUUCAAAUGAACGAAGCACUCGUUGCAUGGCAUUGCUAUGACGUUGAUGGUGUUUUGGAAUGCGAAAGUCUCUUGCAACUACUAGGAGUCCACAAAGCCGACCGACAUUCAUCAGAGAGGCUCGAACAUUGUCGAGGCAAAUGUUUGUCGUCCCCCCCCCCCCCUUUGAAAAUGUCGCCAAAGUGGUCCAAAUAAUGCCAACAGAAAGGAGCUCCGGCGAGGUUGGUUGGCUAGCUACGGUUCAAAGUCGGAAUGUCGGCGCUCUUGCCGCCGCCGCACGGGUGCCGGCCCAGCUGGUACUUGUAAGCGAAGGCGCGGUCGCAGGCGUGGCAUCGGAACACCUUCUCCCCCGUGUGUCUUCUCAAGUGGGUCAUCAAGGUGACUUUCUGAGAGAAGGAUUUACUGCAGAAAGAGCAGGCAAAGGGUCUCUCCCCGGUGUGCGUCCUCGCGUGCUGCACCAACGCCGAGCCCACGGUGAAGCUGGCGCCGCACGCCGAACAAGAGAAGGGUUUCCCGCCGGUGUGGAUGCGGGUGUGAGUCAGCAGGUUUCCCUUCAAGGAGAAGCCUUUGGCGCAGAAGGGGCAGCUAAAAGGUUUCUCUCCCGUGUGCGUGCGGGCGUGCCGCAUCAAGAUUCCCUUCUGAGAGAAACGCUUGCCGCACGCUGAGCAGCCGAACAGUUUUUCUCCCGUGUGGCAGCCCAUGUGGCGCUUCAGGUUGCUCUUGCUACCAAAGGUUUUGGCGCACUGAGGGCACCUGAAGGCUUUGGCGCUCCUGGGGCCUCCUCUCGGGCGGUCCUCGUCUGGAGAGCGCCGCGAUGGCGAGGACGUAUCUGCCAACGGCGCCGUGGGCUUCUCCUUGCCGCCACGGUUGCCGUCUUCGCUCUUCACCGCGGCGACGGUAUGCUUGCCGGCGUCAGCUUCCUGGCUGAUGCUGACUUCUUGCUCUUCCUCCUUGAUGCUGGGGGAGCGGGUCCCCUCCUCCUUCUCCUCCUUUUUGAUGAAGGGGCAUGCUUCCCCUCGGAGGCAGGGCGACCACAGCGCCUCCUCUUGGGACUCCAAAGCUUCGCAUGUCACGCCCGAGAGCUUCUCUCUCCGCUCAACACCUGCGAGACACCGGAAGACCGGAACGUAAUUUCAAUCUCUUUGUGUGUCUUGGCAUGUGAGGAGCUUGACAAUAAAGCAGACUUUGACUUUUGUCAUGUUUUGCCAUUUGAUGCCUGACUGCAAUGAUGUAUUUGAAUGAAUGAAAAUAUCAUUUCAUAAUCAAUUCCUUUAGAAACAAUCUUUUUUUUCCCCUCAUACUUUUGUAUUUUCUAUCUUAUUCUUUCCAACCUUAGGCCAAGAAAAAAUGCUCCUUGUGCGCUUCCCAA